GUUGCAAUGGAUCACUUUCUCUGUCCUGAGGGCUGAAACAAUGUUUGAAAUUGCAGCAAAUUGGGAUCCCAGGGCCACAUCCAUCUUCUUCUGCAGAGACUCCUACUCUUCCUUGGAAUUCCUUGGGGGGUCUUCCAUUUGUUGAACGUUACAAACGUAAGGUACAUAAAAGCUCUUCUCUGCCUGAGUUCCCCAGCCCAGCAGCCUUGGGGAGCUUCUGUUGUUUGUUUGCACUUGAUACUCCCAAUUUUAAAAUUUAUUGCCACUCAAAGGGGAAGGUCCCAGGCACAAAUGACAUGGGAUAUAGAGGUAAUUAUGUGACUGUCCCUUGGGCUAGUGAGGUGAUGUUAUGAAGUGGGUAGUGAGGAUGUGGUCUAGCCUAAAUGACCAAGACCCCUUCCCCAGGUCCUCACCUUGGUUCUAACAGGGGAUGUUCUGGACUGGAGAGAGGACAUGAUUCAUUAGUAGUAUAUGGCUGGUUAGCCACAGGUUUAGAAACCUCUUCUCUGAACUCCUGCCCCAUCCACACUUUGGCUUCCCACCACAUCCUUUCUGUCAGCUGAAUGAGUGCAUCAAAAGUCUGGAAAGUGAUGCUCUAACUCUACCUUUCCCCCAAGUAAACACCAAAGGAAAACACUCGACCUGAUAGAGCACUGGUCACCAGAUAGCCUGGCAGUGCCCCUGGCCUGAGGGAGCAGGAUGUAUGUUGUGCUGAUUGACGUGACCCUCCCCCAAGGUCUGGAGAGUUUUAUGGUCAGGUGGGAGCAGAGCACCAUGGGAAUCCCUUCAAUCACGCAAAUCAACGCCCCAAUUAAGAACUUUCUUUUGUACCUAGAGUCCCAGCAUUCUCAAGCCUGGUCAGCUGUUUAAAUGACCAGGUUUUACCUGUAAUUCUUAAAGUGCAUAUUCACCCAACUAAUGUAAUAACUUGGAUUCUGCAAAUGGAAUUUCCCCCAGAUGUGUAAGUGGCUCUAAGUAGUUUAAAAAGUUUUAAAAGCUCAGUCAGUACUUUAUCCAGAGCCUGUUGAUCAUUAAUAGAAGUUCUACAGAAUGGAAGUCAGCAGAGAGGGCCAUUAAAUGCAGAUGGGCCAGUUACUGGCCGGCAGUCUGCUGCUGUCCCUGUCAUUCUGCACGAUUGCUGUCCCUCUGCCAGCUCCAAGGUGCUUUGAGAAGGCUGACAGGCACUGCUGAUUUUUUUUUGGUGCUGUUUCAGGGAAGGGAGAGACUCCAAGCCACGUCUUUAUAUCAAAAAUGGCACAUGAGGUUGAGAUUCUGCUUGAUUAUUCAGAAAAUUAAUCCUGGCCUGUAUUUGUUCCUUGAAAUGAACUCCGGGUUCUGAGUUAAUCUUUGUCUCUUCACUGGGUUUCUGGAAAUAGUCACCCACCCACCCCUGUGGCUUUCCUGGUUUCAUAAAUGCAAUUUCAUGAUGAAAAUUUGAAAAUAAUGUGAAGGUGGUUGAUUGCCAGGGAAGGCGGUUGCCUCUGCCUCUCGGAGACACAUUGAUAAAACAUCAGUGAGCUUUUUCAUUUACACAAGCAGAGAGAAAGAUGCACAUGUAAAGAAAAUGAUAGAAUGUCAGAUACGUAAUAUAAAAUCAUCAUACCAUAAUUAUAUUAAAAUAUAUGGUUUAAAUUUACAUACAUUUAAUACAGAUGAUGCCUAUUUUAUUUACAUAUUAUUAGGAAAACCUGGCUCUAUAUUUUAGGAAAUUGAACGUUAACUUCAAAAAGGCCUGUAAUGUUUUCACCUACGUGAUACUUCAGAAAGUUAAUUUUCUCCACAGACUGUGUAAUUUUAACAAGAAUAGCCUAACGUGAUUCCGAUGCUCACAAACAACUUCCAUGUACUGAAAAUUGGGUCUGAAAUAGGAUUCUGGGUUGUCAUUUUCAUAUAUAGGAUUAUAUUUUGUGCAUAUAGUUCCAUUUUUAAUAAUUUUUAAGUCUGAAAUUAAUUUAAAAACUCCAAUGAUUUUUUUUUUUUUUAAGGAUAAAGACAUUGCUUGUCUUGAUCAGAUUGCCUCUUGCUCUCUGUAAAAUUCCCUCAGGGCCUCAUCCAGGGGUAGCAUCUUUUCGGCAGCCACAUCCCCAUUACUCUGUUAAUGCAUUUUGUAAAGAAAACAAGAAGAACCAUAUAGAUCUGCUAUAGGCUGGAAGUUGUCAUCUACAAGCCCUUAAUGGUCUGGCAAGUCAUAUCUUGUUUCUGAAAAUAUCAUAAUUAUUUCUCCCCAAAUGUCAAGAGCUUGUUUGUUUAUACCCUCAAGAUUUUAUAAGAAUUAAAUACUUCCUUCUGAGGGUGUGGUUGAGAGCGCUGGAAUGCUAGGAUUGGAGAUGACUGAGGAUGCUGUUCCUCAUGGUCAAGGGCAGGAUUGAUAGACCCACCUGUCAGUCAUUACUACCAAUGAAACAAGGAUUAAUUAAGUAAAAAUAAGGUUUGAGGAAGACAACAUUUCUAUGGGAUUAAUUUCUCAGUCUUUACCUUAAUCAUAUGCCUCUAUUUAAGUGACUAUAUGAAACAGAGUGGCCAGCUCAGAGGGUCAGUAAAAUAUACAUUGGUUUUUUUCCCCUUUUCUCUCCUUCAAAAUUUCUUGGAUGGUCUUGUCUCAGGAUGAUUAUAUUUCUUUGCAGGAUCUGGGCAUGCGUACUGUUGGAUGCAUCGCCUCAAACUAUAUCAAACACACUUAUAUAUUAUGUACAUAUUUUAUGUACCCACUUCCCACAUUAAAUCAAAUUUAUACUUGAUUAUAGAAGACUUGACUUGAAUUAUAGUUGACUAUUCGGUAUAACUUUUGUAGAUAUUUAAACAUUUAUUUUUUUCAGUAAUUUUCCCCUUUUCACAUUUUAGAGGUUUAUUUAUUUAUUUUAGGUCUCAAAUGUUUCCUUUGGAGAGCCUGUGCAGGCUAGGUGCUGAGCCUAGAGGACUUUCCUUCUUGCCUCUCUGAGAAGAGAAAAGUCAUCCACACUCACCAGAGCCAGUCCCCUCGCUGUGCCUUAGCACUAGCCCUGGUGCCCAUUAUCAAGUGUCUGGAGAAUGCCCCACGCCUGACCACAUGACUAGGGGGUGACAGAAAUGGAGAGUGAGGAUCCCUGUAAUAAAACGUGGGUCCAAGCAUCUCAGACAGGGAACAGUAAUGGCAAAGACACAGCUUUCUCUAGGCUUCUGACCUUUAAAGUAACUCUACCUUCUCAUUUUCAAAGGCUUUAGAGAUGCUCAUGAUUAAUUUUAGGUGUCAACUUGACUGGGCUAAGGAAUACCCCCAUAGCUGUAAAUACCCAUGUUAUUUUUUGGUAUGUCUAUGAGGGUGUUUCUGGAAGAGACUGGCAUUUGAAUCAGGAGAGUGAGUAAGGAAAGUCCACUCUUGCCCAGUGUAAGGGUCCACAAACCACUUGGUUAAGAGACUGAAUAGAAUAAUAAAGAGGAGUAAAGGUGUGUCUUCCUUACUCCUCUGGUGCUGGGUCCUUUUCUCCUGCAUCUGGACAUCAGAACUGCAGGAUCUCCAGCCUUUGGAUUCCAGGACUUGCACUCGAGGCCCCUCAGGUUCUCAGGCCUUAGGUCUUGGGCUGAGCCAAUACCAGACUCCCUGUUUCUCCAGAUUGCAAAUGACAUAUUGUGGGACUUCUCAACCUCCACCAUCACAAGAGCCGAUGAGCCGAAUCCCCUGAGAAGCCCCUUCCCAUACAUCUGUAUCCAGAUCGUCUGUAUCCGUUCUCUCCUCAUCUGUCUUCUAUUGGUUCCGUUUUUUUGGAGAACCCUGAUGAAUACAGAGGAAAAGACUUGGACCAAUUUUAUUUCCUUCUUACCUUUCCAAUUGUUCUUUCUCUGCAUGUUAUUUUACUCCUAACUCCAUGGAAUUAGAUGUUGUCCUUCAGAGUCUGUCCACACCUCCUUCUUUUCUCUUUCUGUUCUUGUUUAGCAAUCUCAAGCUUUCUCAAGGCGCUUCCCUCUUACUGUAUGUAGAAAUCCAUGCUUCUCAGUUUCCAGGACCAAGCUUUCUUCUUUCUGUUUCCAUUUGGCAUAAUGAACAUUUCCAGGCAUCCUAAAAUAAAUCUACCUUUUCUUCCAGAAAACUCUACCCUUUGUUCCAUGUUCCUUAUUUAGGCUACCACAGAAGAGUUACCAGGCAUUGGGAUUUACAGCUUCAGCGUCAUCCUUGCCUUCCCUCUGCCCUGGCCUGUUAGACCUUGCCCCCAGCCUUGAUCCUCUCUUGGCUUUGCUCCAUCCUCAGCCCCUCCCCUUCCCACCCCCACUCCAUCCUCAGCCCCUCCCCUCCCCAUCCCCCACUCCAUCCUCAGCUCCUCCCCUUCCCAUGCCCCACUUCUGCAUUCAUUCUCUUCUCACCUGGAUCAUUGAAACAGCCACCUAACUGGUCUCUCUGCCUCUGUUCGUACCAGCAAAGGCCACACACUUUAAAUUCAAAGUGCCCACUUGAGUCGGUAGCAUUUCUCCACUAAGGAGGCCAGUGACUCCUUCAUCUAACCCAUAGGGUUCUCACGUUUAUUUGCGGCCUCUACUACCCACUUUUCCGAAGUUAAAGCAAAUGCUCACUUUUAUAUACGCUUUGCCCAUCACAAGGGAUUCGUUUGCGGCUUCCCACGGGUCCCUACACCUUUGUCUCCAUCAUUUUUUACUACAAGCCCUUGCUUCCCACAUGGAAAUGUGGCCUCGCCCUAAGCUUCAUCCCGAAGGCUCUCUCCUCUCAGAGGCUCCCCUCAGGCAGGGCUUUCCUCGGCUCCAUUCAUCCAUGCCCCCUCCACUCCACAUCUUAUGGAAAGGGAAUUCUCCCUCUUGUGAAUCCACUCUUAAUUUUUUAAUUAACUAACUUUUCUGUUUAUAAUCCCAUGACAUUUCCUCCGUAGCUCCUAGGGUAAUUAUAGCACUUUGCAUUGAUUCUGGAGAUGUCCCUCCAUAAAUAUUUGGUGGAUGGAUGAGUGCAGAACUUUAUAGAUUUUCUUCCUCUAACAAGUCUGCCUUCAUAUCUCCAAGUCAAUUGAAAGAAUAUUAUACGUGGAGUGAAUUGAUGUUUGCUUGCAACAAGUUAUUUUAAAGGAUAAUUUGAAAGGGUGCUUAUUUCUGCUGUGGAAUUGCAAUUCUUUAUAUAACUAUGAAAAAGAGAAAUUAAGCUGGUGAUGGGAUGGUUUUUAUGAUAUCCUCUUUACAGAAUAUUUGAAUCAAAAAUGUGUAUGAUAAGGCAAAGAGCAAGCCAAGGACAAUUACCAGCAGUAACAACAAUAAUAAUUUAACAAUCAUUUUUUAUUGAGAACCAUAUAUGUGCCAGACACUGUUCCACAUAUGUACACAGCAUGUCUACCCUUAAGGUCUUAUAGAUUUGCAAACUGAGACUCAAGAGAGAUUAACUUAAUUAUCUAAGAAAAGCUUAAUAUUUAAAAUCCAUGCUUAGGUUUCAUUUUUCUGGAUCAGAAUCUACUCCCUAAAGUAUUUCUAGUUAAAACUCAAGUGUCUCCAGGAAACUCCCUUCACCCUCAUUAAGCCUGUUCUGCUUUGGGCUAGUCUGUGGUUUGCCUCUGCUGUGCUAGAGGGAAGUCGUGACUUUGUGGCAGCCGUGACCAGAGGUCUGAAGGGAUGAAGUUAUCAGUGCAGGAUCCUUCAGGGCUUGUCCUCGAGGUGGUUCACCUCAGGGUAUGGUCCAGCAAUUCCAGCAUCUGGGUGUGCAUUUACCCAGCUCUGCCUGAGCUGUGUGCCCAGGGCACAGCACUGUGCACCCGGCUCAACUUUUUCCUCUUAAUACUUAUUGACAUAAUUUGACUUAAAACAAUAAGUCUUAGAAACCUGACCAUUGUUCGCCAAAAUGACUCUGUUAGGAUAGGGAAACCCCAACCACAAGUGCCACUCUUUGGAGCUGCGGGAGGUUACCAUGUAUUACAUAAGCUUCCUCCAGGGACUUUGCAUAGGCAACGUAGUGAGAAUAGAGUGUGGGUUGGAAUCUUGGCUCCAGUGCUUAGGAGCUGUGUGGCUUUUCAAUGUGUCAGUUCCCCAGUUUGUGUAACAUAACAGGUGGUGGAAAGGGCAGGGAGAGAAGAUAACCCCUGUUCUAAAAGGUGUCAAGAGGGUUGGAGCCAACAUAUGUCCCUGGUAUGGAUGAAGUGCCCAACAAGUGGUAGUUGUUGUUAUCGUCCAUGUGACAGGACACUCCCAGCAUUUAGCAGAAGGAAGUGUCCUGUUAGAGUUUCCUAUGGCUCCUGUAACAAAGUACCACAAACUAGGUGGCUUCAAAGAGCACAGCUGGUCCUUGCACAGUUCUAGAGGCCUGAGUCUGGAAUCAAAGUGUUGGCUGGCAGGGCUGUGCGUCCUCUGGAGGCUUGCCGGGGAAUCCGGUUCUUUGCCUCUUUGAACUCCCACAGCUGCUGGCAUUCCUUGACUUAUGCCCACAUCACUUCGGUCUGUGCCCAGGAUCACACUGUUUCCUCUUCUAUGUUUUCCUCUGCCUCCCUCUCAUAAGGCCACUAGUCAUUGAAUCCAGGACCAACUGGGAUAACCCAGAAUGAUCUCAUUCAACAUUAACUUAAUUAUAUCUGCAAAGACCCUUUUCCAAAAUCAGAUAGCAUCCUCAGGUUCUGAGGAUUAGGAUGUGAAUAUAUUGGACUUACCCUGAAGGACUGGGUAAGUUUUUGUGUGUGUUUGUGUGCAGGUGAACCCUGUGUGGUUUAGAGGGCUCCUGAUGGGGAGUUGCAGUGUUGCCAUUGACAGCCAGGGGGCAGCACAAGAGGCAAAAACAGAUGCUGAGGGUGAGGAGAGAGGCUGAGGCACCCAGAGGAAGCCUGGAAUGACCAGAGAGGCAGGGAGCCGUGGUUUGGGGACAGCUGGGCUCCACGUGUGGUCUUGCCCCAAUUCACAGUAUAACAGAGGACAGGUCAUUUCUUUAUAGGCCUGUUGCCUCACUAUAAGGAAGGUUAGACCAAGUUAGAGGUUUUUAAAUUAAUUUCUUGCAAGGUGAAUGCAACCUACCCAAGUGUUUUAUUUGUAUGAUUUAAAAAUUCAAAACAAAAAUUGGUAAACAUCAUGUAAAAAUUAGAUAGUGAACCCUGAUAAUCAGCUGUGGCAGCCUCUGGACACCCAGGCUCUUGCGUGGACAUGGUGUAAGGGGUGGCCCCAUGUAGGCCAGGCACGAACCCUCUGAGUCACCACCCCUCCCACCUGGCCUUCUUGCCUCUGGCCUCAUCCUCAUCCUCUCCCACUGCAGGCUCCCUGGUGACAGGGAAUUCUUUGCUGCGUCCAGGUUCCUAUCAACAGUGAGAUUCAGGUGAGGGAUUUUUUGCUUCCCCCUGUUGGGUUCACUCACUCCACGGUCUGCCUGAGCUCUCUGGAGUUUGGCUUUGUGAUCCUGAGUCGGAGGAUGGAGAUGGCUGCUCAUCUCUGAGGCCAAUGACCUCGGUGCCAGAGGAAAGCCCUGGGGUGCUGGAGACAGAGCUGCUCGUCUGUGAAAGCUGUUCUGAUUCCAUCCAGGCACAGGAGCUGCUCUGUCUGGAGACCUGUACUUCUCAGUUCAUAGAGUGAGGUUCUGGUCACUCCUUUCCCCCGUUUCCUGAGUCCUCAGAUCCCUGCCCAUCUCUGCUCACUUUUCCGCUCUCCUGCCACUGAGGCCCUCCCAGCAGGGUUUUGGUAGCAUCCUCCCACACACUGUGACAGCAGCCUCCUUCCUGGGGCCUGUCCUGCUCUCCACUGCAGGAUCCCGGGUGAGUUCUGGAGAGCAUUUUCAGAGCCUUGAUGGCAAUGAGAGAGGACUGGGGGACCUAGGCUGCAUGUGUCUUCAAUCUGGUCCCUUCAUGAGGUUCUAGCUAAAUGUUACAAUUGUGAUCCUGUAGUGAUGGACCAGCUGAGGAGACAGUCUCUCAUUGGGCACCUCCUAUGACUCAGGAGAGUGCCUUGUGUCCAGUUGUUGUGAGGGCUGAGGCUGCCUGGUCACCCUGUGGGGAAGCUGCCCACACCCAUCCCCCAGUCUCCUUGUACUUGUACUUCCCCAGGAUUCCCCCAGAGAAGGUGGAGAGCCGUCCCCUCCCACCUCUCCACCUGCCUCCCCAGCCGGGGCCCACGCACUCACCUGGAAAGCUGGGUUCUGAUACUGACAGCUGAAUUAGCAAGGCGAGGACAAGCACAAGGCUCUCACAGGGAGAAGCCACUGCUUGUGGUUUUAUUUUUAUUUAGUUCUUGAUGUUCCUGAACUUUAUUAUCAAAUAUCAAGCUAAGAAAGUUUUAAAAACUAUAAAAACAACUGAAAGGCUUUCUCUCUUUUGAGUCUUUAACAAUGUGGAGUUUGAGUCGGUGGCAGCUGUGGGAUCUCCUUGGUGCCUUGGUUCUGGGGCAACAGUGUGGCCAUAAUGCCAGGGAGGGAGCCCAGAUCAGUGGAGAAGGACGCUCAGCUCAGAGGCAGGAUGGAGGGAAUGUUCCAUCCACAGGAAGGCAAAGGGAGGGGCAGGGAGAGCCACUGAGGCAGGAAAUGAUCUUCCUGCCAGUGUCACCUGGGACUGAGGACCUUCCUAAGGCUCUUUGCAGCCUCUGAGGACAGAAACUCUUUCUUAAAGACUCAUGUGGAUUCUUCGCCAGGGUAUGCUCAUUUCAGCUUAUGCCCUAUUACCCGCCUGCAUUUUUCGCUAUUGUGUGUGAAUGGUACCACUAUUAACCCAGUUGCUCCAGCCAGAAGCUCAGACGCCCUGAGCCCAGCUCUCUCCCUCAUUCUCUGCCUUCUUAGGUCAUUUCUGUCUUUAGGUCAUUUCUGAGUGUUGGCUCCACCCCUGGCUCUCCUCCUCCAGGCCCUGCCGCUUCACUGCGGAGCCAGCCUGAUCCAUCUCUGCUGCUAGCCUUUCCCCUCCUCAUCUCUACUCUGCCACAUUGGCCAAUUUAAUCACAUUACUAAUCUGCCUGAAAUCUUUUUAAAAGACCUCCCAGACUCCUGCAGAACAAGAUUCCAUUUCUUUUCCAGUACAAAGUUCCAGUGUUCUGGCCUCAUCUCUCCUACACUUUGAUUUACACAGCAGCUCCUCUUAUAUACAAUUUUGCUUCAUGUACUUUCAGUUAUCUGCCAUCAAACAUGGUCUGAAAGUAUUCAUGAAAAAUUCCAGAAAUAAGCAUUUCAUGAGUUUUAAGUUGCCCCUUUGCCCAGUGUUAAAAAAUCAUGCAUCAUCCUACUCUGUCCUAUCCAGGAAGUGAAUCAUCCUUUUGUCCACAGUAUCCAUACUGUGUAUGCCACCUGCCCUGUAGAAUUUGAGAGAGAGACCACAUUCACAUGAUUAUUAUUACAGUAUAUCAUGGCAGUCAUUCUAUUAUUAGGUAUUAUUAUUAAUCUAUUACUGUGUCUAAUUUAUAAAUUAAAAUUUAUCAUAGCUAUGAAUAUACAAGGGAAAAAACAGUGCAGUUAGCUGUCCAUAUCUGUGGGUUCUGCAUGUGUAGAUUCAGCCAACGGAAUAUUUAAAAGAUUGUUAAAAUUUUAUAUCUGUACUGAAUAUGUACAGAAUAUGUUUCUCCUCAUUACUCCCUAAACAAUACAGUGUAAAAACUAUUUACAUAGCACUUACAUUGUAUUAGGUAUUAUAAGAAAUCUAGAGAUCAUGUAAAGGAUGUCAGUAGGUUAUAAGCAAAUGCUACACCAUUUUAUACAUAUGUAUAUAAAACAUUUGAGCAUCUGUGUAUUUUGGUAUUCUCUGAGGGGAGCCUGGAGCCAACCUCCUCAAUACCAAGGGACAGCUCUAUGUAGAGUUUGGCACUACACUUGGAUUCAGAGCAUAACCCCAGGGAUCAGGGGACUUCUGAACCCAAAACUCCAGGCACCCUGGAUAUUGCAGGUCCUUGGAGGUGCCAUACUGAUCCUCACUGGGCUGUCACACUCUGCAUGGAUCACCCUUCCUUCACUCCCACCUGUUUAUGCUGGGAAGACUCCAAACAUCUACUUUCUGUGAAGUCUCCUGAGGGGCUGGCCGCUGGCAGCCCCUUCCCAUGUCUCUCCCGUGGGCUUCCGCUGCCCCUCGCCUUGCUUUAACUGUUUGCAGGCACAUUGGAUCCUACUCCUGAUGGGGAAUUGGAGAAAGGCCCUAGACCUUAUUUAUGCUCUUCUCUCUCACGGGUAGCAGAUCACCUGGAGCACAGCAGGCUUUCACUAAAUGCACUCGUUCACAAAACAAGUGUUUCCAAAUUGUGUGUCCUUCUUCGGGCUCUAAUUAAGGUCCUGGAGAUGUACCAGUGAAAAGUAUGGGUCCAGACCCUUUGCCCAGGGAGAGUACCUAGAGGCUGAGGAGCCAGAGGAUAAAUCAGAGAAAAGGUAAGAGCAUAUAUCAUGUUUGACACUGUCGAGUGCCAAGGAGAAAAAUCUAACCCAGAGGAAGGAUCUGAAAGAAUCCUGCAUCCGUUGAACAAGCUUGUUAUGGUUUAGAUAUACUAGUUGCCCCCCAAAAGCUCAUGUUUGAGACAGUACAAAGAAGUGUGGAAAUGAAAUGAUUGGGUUAGGAGAGCCUUAACCUAAUCAGUGCACUAACUGGGUGGUGACUAUAGGCAGGUAGGGGUGGCUGGAGGAGGUGGGACCCUGGUGGCAUGCCUUUGGGGUAUACAUUUUGUCCCUCUCUGCUUCCUGAUGCCAUGUCCUGAGCUGCUUUCCUCCACCAUGCCCUUCCACCAUGAUGUCUGCCUCACCUCAAGCCCAGAGCUAUGGUGCCAACCAUCUAUGAACUGAGAUCUCUGAAACAAUGAGCCAAAAUAAACGUGUCCUCCUCUACGUUAUUCUUGUCAGAUGUUUUGAUCCCAGCAGUGAAAAGGCUAAAACAGAACCAUUCCUUCUCCCAAGGGAUUUUAUGAACUCCCAGGACAAAUAGGAAAAUGGGGAUAUACUUGGGAUGAAUAAAUUCAAGAGAAAGCAAGGCAUCUGGCUACUACACAUUAAUAUCUUUUUUAAAAUUUGGUUUUGACCCUCCAGUGAUUGGACUUAAUAGGAGCCUGUGGUCUGAGCGAUCCCUGAAUAUUAGCAAGUAGACCUGCGUUGCUCCCCAGCUCUAGGGCUCGGGCUUGCUGGGCUGGGUUCCUCUCAGCCCUGGAGCCUCCUCAUGGCUGCCUGGCUCCUCCCCUGCCCAAGUAUCUACUGGGUGGUGGAGCAGGUGCUCAGGCAUCUUGGCUUGUGUCAGGGUUCUUCCAGCCUCACAAACACAUGUACACACACACACACCUUUUCACAAAAGAUCUGCAGCCCCUGCCAUGGAGCCUGGAGGGGGUUGUGCACUUUGUGUCAGCUCUGGAGAAGGACCGUAAACUCUGCCCCACCACUGACUCAGCCCUUGGGACCCCCUUCCCUCAGCACGUGGCAUGCUCGCUGUCCUGGGUGAGCCCUCAGGAAGCCACCUUCGGGUGGUUUUCAAAUGCAUCGUUGUCUGGGAACUCAGCGCGCCUCCCCCUGCCAUUCAAAUGUCUGUGUGGGUGACCACUGUGGCUGAAUUGUAGCCCCCCAUUAGCACACUGAAGUCCCCACCCCCUGUACCUCAGAAGGGAACUGUAUUUGGAGACAGAGUCUUUAAAGAGGGGAUCAAGGAUAAAUGAAGUGGUAUGGGUGGGCCCUCACCCAACAGGGCUGGUGUCCUUCUAAGAAGAAGAGGUUAGGACAUAACGAAGCCUUAGGGCCUGCCUUGCAGGGGCCAGGGAGGAGGUGGCCAUCUGCAAGCUGAGGAGAGGGGGCUCAGAGGGUUAUACUGCAUCUCUUUACUGCGACUCGCUGAGGACUUUGGAGAAUGUCUCCAGUCUCUGACACAGAAACGCGCUUCAUCCUGAACAAAGGCCAUCUCCAGCCCCUCCUCACCCACCCACCCCUCUGCAGCAGGGGACUCAGCUCUCCAAGAGGGCAGGAGCCCUCCCUGUCAAGUGGUCCUGGCUGGAAUUAUCUAGUGAAGCUUUGCUUCAUUAUAGAUAUUAUUGUCAAGCCAAAGAAAAAAAAUGAAAUGGCUCUAAAUUGGAAAUCAUAUUAAUUAAAACAAUCAUUACUGUUGUCUCCAGGACCAAAAUGGGGUUUUUAGGUAAGAUUGUGUUUUUCCCCUCUGGAUAAAAGAAGAAUUUUUUUUUCUUUUCAUUUUUGAGCCUCAAUAAACAGAAAAAAGAGCAGCAUACUUUUGAAGAGGGUUGGAAAAUAAAAAAAAUAAAAUAAAAAAGAAUGAUAAUUCAUUAUUCAGUAAUCAACUUCAACUGCAAAACCAGCAGAUUGUGCAGAGAGCACAGGGCUGUGGGGAAAGGCAGAGGCAGACCCUGCCCAGCUCAUAUCCUCUGGAGUGAAUCAUCUCCACAGAGACCUUAUUAAGAGGAGAAAGAUGGGGAACUAGCAUGGGGGAACCUCUGUUUGCAGCCUCUACCUUUGUACAGCACAUUAACAUGCACAGUCAUUGUUUCUGGGCCUGCACUCCCUACUCUCCAAGCCCCACUCCCAGAUUAAAAAUUACUAUAUACUCAUCUGCCUUAAGGUUCCAGAACAGAUCCUCUCUUCUGGGACCUCUGAGUACAGAGAGAAACAACAUCUUUGCAAGAGGACAAACCUGUGAUGCAGCCUCUAUUUGUUGGUCUGCUCCUUCUCUGUGCUGUCAUGAUAGGAAGAAUUUGAGGAUGGUCCCUGAGAGCCCCCUCCAGAGUGUAUGAACACCUUCUCCCCGUCAUCAUCCAGGAGACUUAAAUCCAGGUGCUACUCUGAAGGGCUUUUGUAAAUGCAAUCAAUAUGCCAAAUGGUGACGUGGAGGAGAGUAUCCUGGUUGAGCCUCACCUAAUCAGGUGGACCCUGAAAUGAGACUGGGCUUUUCCUGAAGAUUUGGCAGUGAAGGGGACUUGACCUCAGGGAAGAUGUCCAUGGCUGGCAUUGAGGAUGGAGAGUGUCAUGGUUUAGAUAUGAGGUGUCUCCCUAAAGCUCAUGUGUGAGAAAAUGGGAGAAUUUUCUGAGGUGAAAUAAUUGAGUUGUGAAAGUCUGAACCUAAACAGUGCAUUAAUCCACCAAAAGGGAUCAACUGGGCAGUAACUAAGUAAGCAGGGUGUGGCUGGAGGUGCAGGGUCACCGGGGAGUGACUUUGGGGUUUAUGUUUUGUCCCUGGUGAGUGGAGCUCUCUUUCUCUGCUUCAUGAUGGCCAUGUCCUGAGCUGCUUUCCUGUUAGAGUUUGGAUGUGAGGUAUCCCCCAAAAGCUCAUGUGUGAGACAAUGCAAGACCGUUCUGAGGAACAAUGACUGGGUUGUGAGGGUCUUAAGCAAAUCAGUGAGUUAAUUCCCUGAUAGGGAUUAACUGAGCUGUGACUGAAGUGGUGGGUGUGGCUGGAGGAGGUGGGAAUCGGGAGUGGCUUUGGAAUAUAUAUGUGUAUGUAUCUGGCAAGUGGACAACUCUCCCUGCUUCCUGAUCACCGUGAUGUGAGUUGCUUCCCUCUGCCACACACUCCACCAUGAUGGUCAGCCUCAUGGUGCGCCGUGAGAAAUGGAGCCAGCCUUCUAUGAACUAAGACCUCUGAAACUGUGAGCCCUCAAAUAAACUUUCCCUCCUCUAUAGUUGUUCUGGUCAGAUCCUUUAGUCAUAGCAGCAAAAAAGCUGACUAAAACAUUCCCUCUACCUUGCCCUUCUGCCACGAGAUUCUGCUUUACUUUGGGCCCAGAGCUUGGGAGUCAGCCCACCAUGGACUAAACCUCUGAAACUGUGAGCCAAAAUAGACUUUUCCUCCUCCACUUUGUUCUUGUCAGGUGUCCUGGUCACACUGAAACAGCUGACUUAAGCAAGAGGGUCAUGUGAUAAGGAAUGUGGAUGACUUCUGGGGUCUGAUAGCAGCCCCCUGUGAUAGCCAAGAAGGAAAAAAGGACCUCAGUCCUAUAAGCACCAAAGAACUGAAUUCUGCCACAACCAUAUGAUCUUGGAAGAAGACCCUGCAUUCCAGAGGAGAAAAAAGAUUAAUUUGGCCUUGGAUGACCCUGGGCAGAGAACCUAGCUAUAACAUGCUUGGACUUUGGACCCACCAAACUGUGAGCAAGUAAGUAAAUCUCUUUUAAGCCAUUAAAUGUGUGGUAUUUGCUAUGCUGCAAUAGUAAACUAAUAGCUUUCAUGGAUCCUACAGAAUUCUGCUGACAGAGCUGGGCACUUACAUAAUCUGCUUUGCAAAAUGUUUCCAGGUGUGCAGUUACAUUCAGGCUUCUUGAGAUUCAGAGCCCCUCAAAGGCAGGGAUGAUGGGUACCUCCCCUGUGUGAGAGAGUAUGGCGGUGGUUAAGAGCACUGAAGUCAAACAGUAUCUGUUAGACUCAGAGCCUUAAAAUGUCAACCAUUUUGCCAUAUCAAGACAAAACAGUUUUGCUAUUUCUAAGAAAAGGCUAAUGAUGAGAUCGAGAUUAUUAUGAGGAUUAAAUGAGACGAUCUAUAUAGACCAGUACCAUGCUCUCACAUAAAACAUGAUGAAUAACUUUAUGCAAAUCAUUGCUUAUUUUCAACCACUAAACAGACGGAGAAGCUAUUUUAUGCCUGAGUAGGUGCUAGGCUAGGUGCUAGCACUACCCAACCCUGGCUUUUAAGUACCUUGAAAUCAAUCUAGUCCCCAGCUGUUUGGGGGCAUGUUCUCUUCAAAGAAGGAGUUCUACAUUUGGAGGGUGAGUAGCACAGGGAGUGGGCUGUAAGUGGGCUGAGUCUAGGUUCCCCAGCAGGUACAUUGGAGGGUCCAGGAGCUCUUUUACGAUCCCAAGCAUGUCCUGGAAUCUUGUACCACAAAAGCAGAGCCAGGAUGAAGAAGCACGUCCAGCCUUGUUUGAUGUGGGAAUCAUGGGAAGUCCUUAUGACAAUGCAGACCCAGGGCAGCAGAGGGGUGCUUGCUGCACAUUUCAUAUGCACCCCUCACUCUGACUCUGUCCAGUGAUCUAUUGCUGUGUAACAAAACUACCCCCAAACUCAGAGCCUCAAAACAUCAACCGUUUUGUUAUAUCUCAAGAUUUUGUUGGGUAUUUGGGAAUUGGGGCAGGGCUUGACUAGACAGUUCUUCUGCUCUGUGUGGGGCUGACUGAGGUCCCUGAGGGACAUCUAACCAGCAGAUGAACUGGUCUGGAAGAGUCCAUGGUGGCUUUACUUCAUAGUUUGUUACUUUUCUAGGGAUGCAAACCAAGACUGGCAGAGUAUCCUAGGAGACAGGGUGGGGAAACUGCCACUUACGCAAGGCCUAGGCCCCCAAACUGGCUUGAUGCCACUUGUAUUUUAUAGGACAAAGCAAAGAUAGAGUCAAGGGGAAAGGACAGACCCAGACCUACCUCUCAGUGAGAAGAAUGUAGAAAAGGCAGGUUUCAUCCCCCACAGACUGAAGCAGGGUCAGGAAACACUGUUUGCUACAGAGUGUUAAAUAACUAAGGCCUACAGUCUGAACAUAGGUCAAUAAAAGUUUUUUUUUGUUUUGUUUUUGUUUUUUUUGUAAAAGACCAGAUAGUAAAUAUCCUAAACUUUGUGAGCCACAUAUAAUCUUCGUUACAUAUUCUUUUUUUUUUAAACUUACAAUCCACCACUACAAAAUUAUAAAAACCAUUCUUAAUGUCCAGGCUGUAGCCAGAUAUGGCCCAUGGACUGUAUGUAGUUUGCCAACUCUUGUUCUAGAAUCAUCUUCCAUGCCACAGAUCCUGGCCAAACUCAGUAUCAUGACAGCUUCUGCCCAUUGUAACAGUGACACUGAAAAUCUUGGAGCUGAAAAGGACUUUGGAAGUCACUUACUCCAUCUGUCCUAAAGGUGUAGAAACUGAGGUUCAGAGAGAUUAAGGGAUGUGGCAGAAGUGCCAUAGCUAAUUAAAGGUGGACCCGCAGAGACUCCCAUGCUCCUCUGUCCUAAUCCAUUGUUUUUCCCAGUGCAACAGACUACAUUUCAAAAUGCCAUUUUUCUAGUCAGCAGAAAUAGCAAAUAUCUAGGAGGAUGGGUUAGACAUAGCAGCAAUGAAAUAUGCUUGGACCCUGGGGACCUUGGAACAUGUUCCCCCGGCUGGCUGUGGGCCAGGUUAUAAGUAGAGGCCAGUUUUGCUGCAGCACUGCUUGGCCGGUCUCUGGUUACUGGCUGAAAAAACAGUCAUCUGUCACUCCCAUGGGAUGAUCUCUGAUGAAGAUGCAGAACACGUAAGAAAGAAAAGGCAGGUGAGGAGGGGUUACACAUGGACCUGCAGCAGGUGGACUUUGUGGGGCCAGAGCUUCUGGCUGGAGGGAAGCAUCAGGACCACCAGUCAUUUCCUUAGUGGGAGGUGCUGUCCAGAGGAGGGCCUCACCUUGCUGAGGUCCUCAGGAAGCCUUUUAUUAUCAGCAGUCGCUUUCUUGCAUCUCCACACCCCUGUGUGCUGUCUCUUAUUCAGACAUCCUCAGGCCUGCAAGACUUUUUAGAAAUCUGAAACAUCAUCUUCCAGAGUUUUCCCUCAGCUUCCCAGGGAUAUGAAGGCACUUGUUCCAGUCUCUCUCUCUCUCUCUCUCUCUCUCUCUCUCUCUCUCUCUCUCUCUCUCUCUCUCUCUCUCUCUGUUUUUAUUGUAUGUAAAUAAUAUAAAUAAUCUGACCCCAAGUCACCUAGUGAGCUUGCUGCAAGUUCCAUUCCUCUUAUAUAUCUCUUUUCUCGUAGGCAUUAUCCAAUUGUAUUAUAGUUAUUUGUUUCUAUAUCUGUUUCCUUAUUAGACUGGAGGGCAACUAAUGGCAAGAAUAUGCUUUUAUUUUUAUUUUUCAGUCUCCACAGCCCCCACUACAAAGUCCAUUGUAGAAUAGGUGUUCAAAUAAGUGUUUGUGAAUGAGGACGUGUGAGAAUUCAUGAAAGGGAGUCCAUUGGCAGUGGUCUGUCUGCAUUCGUCCUGGGAGAGGGUGCCAUUUUCUUCAUUACUGGCUCUGAAGAACUGGAAUCAGUUGAAAUAGUCACUGCCAGGAGCUUCUGAAAUAUUCUCCUUUGGGACUUAAAUAGUGGUACCCUUCUUUAAGGAGUUGAUGAGACAGGAUUUUGUUUAGGUCUCUUGCAAGGUCUCUUUUAAACUGUGGUUUGGACGUCUUCCACCCCCCUUCCCCAGAAUCCUAGACACUGGGCUUCUGGACUGACCAUAUGUUCUGGCUCUUUACAAAGGGAAACACACAAGGUCAACAGUUGGCUUUUGAUAAUUUGGUUUAUGAAACAUUCGAGAAUCUUUGCUUAAUAUAUAAUUCAUACUUUAGAGGAAUAUAAUUAUGCACUCCGGCCGGAGUUCUCUUGGAUGAGCCUUGGCAGUCCCAGAUACUCUUCAUAUGGCGGUUUUUGAUUCACAGUAACGAGACACUGGCUGCUCAUAAUCCCUUUCCACAUAUCAAUUUUAUUUUUUACAUCAAUUCCUGCCUUUUGCCCACAUAAUGCAAGCUUUUAGUAAAUCCAUUCUGACCUUUUUGCAAUGGCAGUGCAGAAGAGGAUGACAUUAUUGGUUUUCCAACAGUUUUGCCCAGUUGUUGGAUGCUGACAUGAAUUCUAGACUGUUGGGCAGGUGAGCUUCCCAGGCAAAGGAAAGAUGCUUGUCUUGUCUCUUUACAGGAAAAAGGCAUAUUGAGUGAUUUGGUGCACCCCUUCACAGCUGCCCAUCAUAUAGCUCUGUUGCAGCAGCGGUUUUGCUGAUAAAGUUAAAAAUAGCCAAUUGGAGGGAGAGUGUGGGCUUGCAUGGUAUUAGACUAUGCAGAUAGAUUUUAAAUUCUGUGGACCUGGUUAAACUUUAACCUUCUCUUGCUUAUUGGCUUCUAUGUGAGUAUGGACCAUUCAGCAGGGAGCAUGGGUCACACAGGGGAGGAGAGCUCAAGAGCUGGGCAAGACUGCAUUUUUUAUUUACAAGGCAGCCUUGUUGGUAAUUCUAUAGUUUUUCUAGUUUUAGAUCUAGUCUAGGAUAGAGAGGUGGAAGUGGGCAAUGCUUAGAAGGACAUUGAAUGAGUUGGUGUGGCUGCAUUUUAGCAAAAGUUAUGGCUGUAGAAAUGCACCCACUGAAGACAAAUAAACUAAUGACUACUCACGCAGGACCUGGAGCAGAGACAAAAAGCCUGGAAUACAGAGAAAUCAUUUUGAUUUUCUGCCACACUGGAUCUCCUGUUCCAAUUGCAGGCAUAUUCCUUUCUGGCUUUGAACCUCAGUGUCCUUCUCCGUAGGUUGGGGAUAAUACAGCACUCUGCUUGGAGCCUCCCAGGUCAUUUAGCUCUGGCAAAUACUCCUAGCCUGUAGAAAUGAAGGCUGGCUUCAGGCAGAAUUGUUCCUCAUGCCUCAAUCCUGUUCAACACCCUGGGAGGUCCACUGCCUUUUCCAUCUCUGGAAAGGGAGAUGUGGCCAGUCCUGAGAUCCGCCCUUUCACCCCAUGUUUUGAAUAUGUCCCCCAGAAUUCAUGUGUUGGAGACUUAAUCCCCAGGGUUAGUGCUGGACGGGGGUCUAAUGGAGGUGUUGGGGUCCUAAGAGCUCUACCUUCGUGAACAGAUUAAUGCCAUUAUGCAAAGGGAUCAUGAGAGCGGGUUCACUCUCUUGGGCUGUUGUCCUCCUGCCUUCUUCCACAUGAUAAACGUGAUGGAGGCUGUCACCAGAUGCCAGUACCUUGACCAUGGGCUUCAUGGCUUCCAGAACCAUGAGAAAAUAAUCAGUGUUAAUGAUAAGCUAUGCAGUCUCUGGUGUUCUGUUAUUAGCAGCACAACAAGACUAAGACAUCUCCCACUGCCGGGUGAGGAGUGGACGUUGAAGUGGACCCCGGACCCCCAAUGGGGAACUGCGAUGGGGGUACCUGAGUGGUAGUCAGUACCUAUAUUUUAUUCAUGGACUCAAAUAAAUGAUAAACUCAUACCCCUCCACAAACUACCCCAGGGAUUGACUGGGUUGUGUUGUAGGAAACAUCAAGGAACAGCUAAGAUGCUAGUGUUUGAAGACUUUCUCCCCGACCCUCCCCAAGUUCAGGAUUGUUGUUUCCAUCCAGGAAAAAAGUCUCUCUUGUCCUCUGUUGUAGGUGAGAAGCAGCUUCUUUGAUGAAAGAAAGGCAUUCUCAGUGAAAUUUCCUCCAGGGAGCCCCAGACAUCUCCACCCUAGACAUGAGCACCACAGAUGAAAUGUGGACCCGGACCACAGAGGCACUGUGUUGUUCAAGGGCACUGCCCUAAACCCGUGAAAAUUCUUGGAGGCAGUGACAGGUAGAUGUUGAGACAGGAGAGAUGAAGGAGGUGGAGGAGGCAGGGCAGGGGAGUCUUGCAAGAGUCAGAAACUAUCCACAGUGAAACUCUAGAUCGGGGCAGACUGCCGGCUGCUUCUGUCUGGUUUGCAAGCUAUGAAUGGUUUUUGUAUUUUUAAAUGGUUGAAAAAAAAAGAAAAAAAAAAUAUUUUGUGCCUUGUGAAAAUUAUAUAAAAUUUCAAAUGUCAGGGUCCAUAAAUAAAGUUUUGUUGGAGCACGGCCCCGCCCGCUGGUUAUUGUCUAUGAGUCCCUGCGCUACCAUGGCAGGGUUGAGCAAUUGCAACAGGGACCCACAAAGCUAAAAAUACUCGCCAUCUGCCCUUUCCUGGCAGAUUUAUAAUAUGCUGACCCCUGCUCUGGACAGUAUCUUAAACAGGGGUAUGUAAAUUCGGUUAAAACUUUCCCCAGCAAGAAGCACUUAGCAAUCAUUUGUUACUGCAUCUCUUUUCUGGCGCAAGGGCCACGGCUGCAAAGGCAGGUGGAGAGAGACCUCCCCUGUUAUGCCUCUCGCUCUGAUCAGCCCCUCAGCCACCUGCACGACUCCUUACACCCCUUAUUGCUCCCUUUGAAAGCCAGCCUACUGGUUGAACUCAAUGUACAUGCGGUUUCAUUUGAGCAAUCAUAUGCGGAUUACAUCCAAGUUUCUGAAAUACCACAGAAAAAGUUAUUUAUGGAAAUAUGUGUGAAAUGUGUUACAAUGAUUUCCAUAUCUUACAAAUGAUAGGCACAGCACCGCCAUAUUUGAAAAACCGAAGGGGUAUUAAUCACUGUGUGAUAUGCAGUGUUAUUAAACUUCAUGGUAUUGAAGGUCCCAUCACAGGGUGUAGGUAAUCUGGCUACUUAAUUACACCUAUGGAAUACUGGCUGCAUGGCUGCGGUGAGCACUACAGUAUUUGCCACCCCUCUGUAGCUCAUGACAUGUAUUAGGAAUUCACAGAUGCGUGUUUUCCCCUUGGCAUUUUUUACCCUGUUAGCACUUGCAAAGUGACUGUUGGACAAGAAACUAACAUUAGCCAGCCUAGAAUUGUUUUUAUUUCCACCACUUUCCACCAACCAGAUCUUCCUUUAAUUAGGUUCCUGUGUGAACUAACCAUUUUAAAAAUGUGUAUGUGCAUAUAUAUGGGAUUUUUUUUUUUUUUUGGCAGUUUGCUUUACUUCUAAGUGGCUGAAUCCUUAUAUAUUCCCCAAGGAACUUGUUACAUAACCCAGAGACAGGUUUUUAACUCAGGAGAAUCUAGUGCAGUUGGAAGGACAGGAAUAUAUUGAAAGAGAGCUAAAGCAAUAAAAUAGUUAUAAGAUUGCCUCAUGAAGAAGGUUCCUGGGAGUGCGGGGAAGGGCCUGGGGCUUAGAUUUGGCCACUGAGAGGUGGAGAGACAGAUGAGCCGUGGUGGAAGGUAGGAUUCUGGAAGGGGCAGAGGCGAAGGUAUUUUUUUUUUUUUCCUGAAAGUCUUCUUGAGAAAGGAAGAUGGGGACAGGUUCAAGUUCAGAAAUAAAGCAGCAAAUUAAUUUGGAAAGAACGUGGAUGGAGAAAAGGAGGCUGUGGGGGUAGCAGUGAUGUGAGGGGGAGCGUGAGCUCGUGAGGAACAGGGGGAUCUGGUUCCAGGAGCCAUUGUGAACGGGAGCAUGUGCAAGGAGGUGGGUGGGUGGCAGAGAGGAGCCUGCGAAGGAGAAGCUAAGUGAAGGCGAGACAUGGCGCUGGGCUUGCCCGCGCCUGCUACGUGGGUGUUGGGAAGGAGAGAAAAUAGCAGGACGGGGCAACGGGGAAGGCAUUAAUUGCAUGCCACCUGUUUCUGUAACCCGACCAUAAGUACCAUGUCCCCAUCAGGCUUUUUAAUGGACCAUUGAGGUGAACCUUGUGGCUCGGUGCCCGCCAGGAGUGACGGUAUUGAGGCGGACAGCCCUGGGGCUCUGCUUCUCCCCUGCAGUUCAUCAUGUCUGAAUUAAAAAGGGAAUUGUUUGGACAAGCCUGUUAAGUGAAUGUUUUUCCUGCAUUAGUGGGAGAGCUUAAGGAGCUCCCAUUGGAUGGAGCCAGGAUCUGAACUACCCACAGCUGUGCUGGGGGAUAUUUAUGUACCGACAUUCACAUCGCCUCUCUCCUGGGCCAUUUUGGCCUCCUGUUCAGAUUGAGCCAAGGUAUCCAUCCAAACCUCUGCCCAGACUGAACUCGCCCUGAGUCCCUCUCCUAAAUUGUCCAAAAUGUUUAAGGCCUAGAUGAGCACUCCAAUAUGGUUGUUUCAGUGAGACUCUGAGUGAGCAUGCGUUCACUUAGGGGUGUGUGUGUGUGUGUGUGUGUGUGUGUGCACGCGCACGCGCACAUGCACAAGUCAGGCAAUGAAGGGAGAUGAGCUCUGGUUUUAGAGACUCUCCUAGCAGCAAUUGACAUGGAAAGAGUUCAAGAAAAUAUCAUAUAUGCAUUUUUUAAAUUUUUUUUUGCUUCUUUCUAUAGGAGUUAUAGGAAGUCAUAGGAAUUCCAGCUUCUGGGACGUUCCCAGUUGCCCCAUCUCUAGUUUGUUUCCAGCAGAAAGUUCCAGGAGAAGCCAAAAAAGAAGUCAGAACCAUCUAAGCUUAUAUUUCAGAGGGAAAGAAGUCAAGUCUUAAAUCCUCUGGGGGUCUGUACACUGGGAAGGGAGGGAAGCUAUUGGGGAAGGAGGUGAACCCCGGGGCGGUGGGGGGGAGAGGGGGCAGCACUGGGGUUCUUCUCUGCCUGCAAGGCUGCCUUGCCAGAGGCACCUGCGCACCUCAGCAGCAGAAGGCCUGGCUGGAGCUUGGAGAGGAGCAGGCUCUGCCAGUAGAGAAGGUAGGGCUGAGAAGUCUGUGCUGUGGCCAAAAGCAUUCCUGGGUCCUGCCUGCCCCAUUAACUCUGCCGAGGGAGGCCUCCGUCUCAGCCAGUGCAGGUGUGGACACUCAAGUCAUUGCUUGGAAAAUUGGGCCCUGGAGGCAGGAGCUGCCAGCUGCUCCGUGAUGGGCUCUGCCGCACUCCAACCGGGCUGUGCCCAGCCUCUCUUCCUGGCUCCCCUUUCCCGGCAGUGCACCCAGCUCCCCACUGCAGCCCCUCUCCAGUCCUCGCAGUUUCCCAUGUAAUUUGCUUGUAACAAGCCUCAUAAAGUUUGACUGUGCUUGCUGGGACUGCGGACCAGACGGCCGAGCCGAGUGUGCCCGUGUUUCUGGCAGUGGAGCUCCAGGGGUUCGUGCACGGCCCAGAGGAGCUGCCUGCCCAGGCUUUUCAGGAACGGGGGGCCAUUUGACAACCUUUGGACUUUCGAAGUGGCAAGCUUUGGGUGGGCUGCAGCGUCCAGUUGAAUUCUUAUGGCUGAUUAGUUCAGGUUUACAGGUCCAACCCCUCUUCCGUCUGCUCUCUGUCCUUGGACUUCUGAAUUAACGUAGAACAAAACAUGUAUUGUCGUCUCAUCCCCUGGGACUGUUGGGCCCAUACCUCUGCAGUCAGUCUCACCCUCCCGACCCCUCCCAGCUCCUUGCCCUGUCUUUGUCACAACCCUCUUCCUUCUUUUCCAGGACUCCUUGCCCCCUGAUCUCCACCCCACCCCACACAUCCUCUGCAUUUUUCUGAACCUCUGCCAUAUGCCUUAUUGGCUUGGCAUCUCAGUACAUGGGCAGAUGGACAGAGACUAAAGCAACAGAGUAGGCAAAUUCCCAAGGUGAACUAAAAAGCUUUGCUCUGGAUUCUUCCAGCCCACCCAAGGCACUUAUCAUUUUAACAAAUGUUUGCAGCACCAUUAUGUACAGAUACUAUUUUAAACACCGGGGCUCUCUGUACUGUGUGCCCUGGGCUCUGAGUUACCGUGACCAUUAUUACUUAUAUUAACACUUAUUUUUCAGAUAGUACCAUUAUUAAUAACUACAUCUGCAGGCUCAUUAAAUAACUCGCCAUAUACUACACAUUCAAAUAAGUAUCUUCCAUAUGUCAGUCAUUAUGCUAAGCAAUUGGGGCUAUAAGGUCCCCUAGGGCUUACAGAAAUCUCUGGAACAGCCAGGCCCAAAGAUGUCCAUUGGCUAGCCUAAGACUGAGAACUGAUGAACAGGCAGCUCAAACUUUUUCAGUUAGUGCUAAUCUUUCUUCAGCAUGGUGUCUCAAACUUGGCUAUACUUUGGAAUCACCUGGGAAAGUAAGAUAUAUUGAUAUCUGGGUCCCUAUUCCAUAGGUUCUGAUGUCACAGAUAUGGGUAUAAACAAUGAUCAAGACUUCUUAAAGAUUCCUCAAGAAGCCAGGUGCAGUGGCAAAUGCCUGCAAUCCCAGCAACUCAGGAGGCUGAGGCAGGAGGAUUACAGGUUUGAGGCCAGACUCAGAAACUUAGCAAGGCCCUAAACAAUUUAAAAAGACCUGUAUUAAAAUUUAAAAAAUAUUUUUAUAAAACAGCUGAGGGUAUGAAUCAGUGGUUAAGAGCACCUGGGUUCAAUCCCCAGUACAAAAAAGAGUUCCACAAGUGAUUCUAAUAUGCAGAAUGAGCCUCUGUCCAGAGCACUUGUAAACUGUGCUGCCUUGCAUUACAUUCUGCUGUUUUCGUGCUUGCUGCCCACAAAUGGACCUUGCUUCCUCUGUAAGACUAUAAACAACUUGGGCACUCAAAUGUGCCUCUUACAUUUUCUAUGUGGCCCCCAAACAGCACAAUGCCGAAUGCCCCAAGAAUAGACAUCAAAUACUCAUUGGAGAACUACAAAUUGCAGGGUGUAAUAACUAACAAGUAUGUGUGUGAGGGGGGAUGAUUCAACAAAGACCUGCGAAGGACUUCCCAGCCCCUCAAACAAAGGCAGUGGGCCUGAGGCACUGUCUCCGACAACUUGGACAGACCCCUCACAGCCAAAUGCCUCUCCUAGAAACAUCAAAUGUGCUCCUUUACUUGCUCUCCCUCUUAAUUUUCCCCAUUUUUUUUAAUCUCCCACAGGAUUCUUUUUCUAAGGAAACCUCUCUCUGCAUUUAAAACUGUCUAUUUUGCAAACUGUAAACAGGUGCUACUUUGCUUCCCAGAACCCUCCUCACCUUUCAAAGCUAAAACCUAGAAGCCAGCCUUCACCACCAGCCCAGUCAGGAGCCAGUCCUUCUGCCCCUCCACUGUUGCCCAUGUCGGGUCUGAAGAGCUCCAUAUAGUCGAAGCACAGUUAUUAGCAGAUCUUGGGUCCUUUACAGGAAGGUGGCCAAGCCCGUUGCUCCUCAUACAUGUGGGUGUGGGAGUGGGAUUAUAGCAUUUAAUCCAAAUAAGAUUCAUCUGUCAGCCAAGUGUCUCACUCCAAAUAGCUUGGAUCCAGAAAAAUGUGAAGUACAAUGUUAGUUACUCCACCUACUAAGUGCAGAGUCAUGAAAAGAAUAGGAGGAGACAAGCAAGGGCAGGAGCUUUACUUUUGAGAAGCACUUGAAAGCAUCCAUCCAUCCAUCCAUCCAUCCAUCCAUCCAUCCUUCCACCCAUUUAUCUAACUGAUCAGUCAGUCAGAUUUAUUGUGCCCUUCUAAACAGGGGCUGGUGAUAGGAACUGAGCUGAAUAGGGCCUGACCUCUACCUUCCAGAGAUCCCAAUUUAAUGGGGGAGAAAGUAUGUACAUAAAUGGGUACAUCCAUGAGUUAAGUGCUGUGAUGGAGCUCAGAGGAAACUUCCUACCCAGUUUGAGGGGUGGGAGCAGGAUGGCUGGGAGGGCUUGCAAACUCCAAAAAAACUCAAGGCCCUUCAGCAAACAGAACCCCCUGGACUCUCCAGAGGCACCUGUAAUGAUGUUUAAAAAGUAAACAAAGUGAGAUGAAGGAAGUGAGGUGAGAUUAGAUUUGAAAGCGGCAAGUGUAGGCCAGGUCCAUGGGUGCAGGGGACAGUGUUCAGCCCUACCACUGGGAGCUCACAGAGCGCCGUGGAUGCUGUGAGCACUGGGUGCAGGGCAUGAGAAGGGCAGGACAGGGGCAUAUCAGAAAAGACCUCAGGAGACAGGGAGGUGAGUGGGGGGGUUGGCUUGGGUCUGAUUACUUCCCCAGCCCUGGGCUCUGGGAAGUGACUGGCCACCUCUGUCACUUCUGCCACUAAGCAUUUCACAAGUAACUGCCCAGGCACCGAGCAAUUGUCAGAUGGCAAUGCCAUCAUCUCCUGUGAAGGUGCUCUCUGGUUGAGGCUUCACAGACACUCCCCAUUGCAUGGAGCUUGUCUGAGAUAAGAGAAAUUAUUAGCAAUUCUUGUUGGUGUUACAUGCUCUUUUGAGAACUACAGGUACAGACCCACAGGUGCAUUUUUAAAUGAUAAGGACUCCCUAAGAAAAAAUAAAACCCCCAUUCCCAAUGACACCUGCCAUAGAGGAUAUCAGAUUAGGUUUAGGAUACUAUAUGUCCUAUAUCUUUGUGUGUGUGUGUGUGUGUGUGUGUGUGAGAGAGAGAGAGAGAGAGAGAGAGAGAGAGAGAGAGAGAGAGAGAGAGAGAGAGAGAUAUUAGGGAUUAAACGCAGGGCCCAAUACACUGGUCAGGUGCUCUACCACUGAGCUACAUACACCCCUAGUCCUUUUUAUAUUUUCAUUUUGAGACAGGGUCUUGCCAAGUUGCCCAGGCUGGCCUUGAACUUGCCAUCCUCCUGCCUUGGCCUCCCAAGAAGCUGGUAUUAUAGGCGUGUGACACCACACCCAGCUCUAUAUCUUUCUUUGUUAAAGUUCCAUUUAGAAUCUGGGUCAGUUGUUCUCCAUCUGCCCCUGAAGCUCCAACAAGCCAUUUACUCCCCAAUCUCUGCUUAGCAGAAUGAAUGCAAAAAUCAUUCCAGGGUUAAGGCCAGAAGGAGCCCACUGAAUAUACCUUUGUUUGCUUUUUAAACAUCAUUACAGGUGCCUCUGGAGAUUCCGGGGUGUUCUGUCUGCUGACAGACCUCAAGUGCUCUGGAAAGCUCACUUGGCAGAAGCCCUGGGGGAAUUCUGUGGCCCACCCGGGUUAGGCAUUGCUCUUUCCCUUCUGGGUGUUUCUUUUUAAUGAGAGUAUCUGUUGAGCUGUUGGGGAAAGGAGAAAGUUUAUUCCUGUUCAUUCUGGGCAAUUUUCUGUUGACCUGAUUUUUGCCAAAUACAAUGGAGAAUUCUGUCGCCAAUGCAAGAUGAUCUUUUUGAUUGUAGGAGAAGUGGCCAAGGAGGUGAGAAGAUCCAAGUGCGUGGAAGGUGGCAGGGACUUUCCAGACUCCCUCCUCAUGACCACAGGGAGGCAGGUAGAGGCAUCCCCUUUGCACAAAUGAGGAUAAAGAAACUCGGUGAUUUGAAUAAUCACAGAGGUGGGAAGUAGCAGAACUGGGUGCCAUGGGUCUGCACCAGGGCAGGCUCCUAAUUAAUAUCUGAGGAUUUGAAAUUCCAUCUGCAAAAUUAGCUGGAAGAAGAGCAGGCCUUCUCUGAUUAAUUUAGGAGAGUGAUUAAUGAGGGAUGUAAGGUUUGAUAAAAGGAAUAUUCAAUCAGAUUUGCAACUUGCAAAUCUCCCUUAUGGAAACCUUCCCUGAGGCGUGUCUUGUAAGCUGGGGGGACCAGGUGAAGGCAGCAGAGCAGGGCCUUUGUAUGGACUUUUGUUUGGGAAGCUGUGGCUUGAUAAGUUCACGUAAUGAAUGACUGACUGACCAGGGCAGGAACCCGGGCUCCUGGCACCUAAGUGAGAUGUCUUCACUCUACACUUGUGCUUUGCAAGCUUCGAAAUGCUUCAAUCAGUAGAGGUUUCUAGAUUCCACUCCACAAUCACUGAACCACCAUUUUGAAAACAGGACAUGGAAUCCAUAUUUUGAAGAGCAUCCUCACAGAAGGUGAUUUUCCCUGACAACAUCAACAUUGGUGAAUGGGGUGUGUGUGUGUGUGUGUCUUAGACUUUGAGGGUUGGAAGAGCCAAUUUUUCCUUAAUGUGGAAAUGAAACUUAACCCUAAGCACUCACUAGUCAACUGAUGUCUUCUAAUGUAAAACACAGUUCUGGAAGGAAAACUAGAACGCACCCCUGUUCUCCUGAAUGUCUAGCAAACUCACUGUGAGGAAUUUCUUCCUUGUAUCUAACUAUAGAUUUUCUUUAUUCCUUUCCCCCCCCCCCAUUUUCUUAUCUUUACUUGUAGAGAACAUGCGAUCACCAUCCCUUGGGUGUAAUUGAAAGAAAUUAUGUCUCUCUCUUCAGAAUCCUCUACUGCAGACUGAAUACUCUGUCCUCUCAGCAUCAGAAUUAUGAAAUAUUUUUAGACUGAGGCAGCCCUGAGCUAUAGACCCUGAGGACGACAUCACAGAGAUGUUCCAAAGAUAUACUUUUUUUCCAAUGUGACAUAUUUUGAAUAAAUAGUGUUAAAGAUUCACAUUGAUUUCACUUAAGAAUGGAAACAUAUAUUUUCAAUCUUCUUCUGUUGCACUACAUUUUACUAAAAGAAUUCCCCUAAUCCAGGGUUAGGAAGCAUAUAAAAAUGAAGACUAAUUUUAAAAAUCUCUGAUCAUAAUGCUACACUCUUUAUGCAAAUCAAUGAAAGCAAUCAAUUCAUUUUUACAGGUCACUCCAUCAAGAUUCGCAGUGGGAAAAGGUCGGCAGUCAGCCUUCCCCUUGACAGAGGGAAUCAGCAAAGGGAGGAAGGGGUCUUUUCCUAUCUGACCCUCAUUCCCACACACCCCACCCCCCAAAAAAAUCUUUAUUUAUUUUCCCAAAUUUCUGAGAAGUGAUUCCAGUUUAGACUUAGGAAGAUAAUUCAUGUGCAUAUUUUCUCUUGAUAAAACAGAUCACAGAAAUGUCCUGGGGUGGGGGUGAAAUGGUUUGGGUGAUAUGACAAGAUUCACAGAAAGGAGCAGAGGUCUCUGAGUACGGCUGGGUCACUUGGACAGGAUGCUUCUCUUCCUGGCACUUGGCCAAGAGACUGUCUUGGCUCCGUAGAGAAAUCAUUGCAUUUUUUAAAAAAAACAAAAGUUUGUUAAACUGGUGCAGUAGGACUUGAUUUAAUAUCCAGUCAAGUUCAAAAUUUUCCAUAUGGUCAAAAACAUGAAUCAAUAGUUGGUAUCUAUUUACUUUUGUUCUACUUUUUUAUUUUAUUUUAUUUUUGCAUUGUAGGAAAAAAAAUAGUAGUAUUUGGAAACAGCCAACAAAAAGAAAUAAAGUCAUCUGAGAAGGUGCUGAGACCAGCGUAUGUCCUAGCCCCAUGAAAGGACCUCGCACAAGACGGUGAAUCGGCAGAAAGAUCUGGAACGCAGUAGAGAUGGAAGUUCAGACAGGAACACGUGGGGCAGCACGUGGAUAGUGCCGUGGGCAGGACACACAUGCUUUAUGACCCAGAGAUGCCACUCUCUCCAGCACCAGCCAACUCUGUCUGGAAAGACCCUUUGGAUAUCCAUAAAUGCCAUGUACAAAGGAGAUUUUUUUGUUGUUGUUCCUAAAGGCUCAUUUCCUCUGGCGGCCAAUGAAUAAAAGGUACAAAGAAAAACAGCCAGCCAUGCCCGGGAAAGACAUCAGGGCCACACCUUCCCCUGGCCAGGAGAUGAGAGCAGGGAGGGAAGACAAGAGCACGCCAAGCCCUUUCCCUCGUGGCCAAAAACCAAAUGUGGUUUGCAGAUGCCUUGGCCAGCGACGGCCCCUGGCUGGGAACUGCCUGUGCUCCUGUCCCGCUCCCUCACACCGACUCCGAGGGGACCCAUGCAUGCUCUCUUUCUGCCCUGCUCUGGCCUGGGCACCGGCCCCCUAGGAGAGUCUAGCCCUCUUCCUCGGCCGAGCAGCUCAGAUGUGCCACCACCUGCCAAACCAGCCUUAUGAACGGAAGAUGCUCAGCGCCCCUGCAGCCCAGAAGUCCCCUUGAAAACCACCGUGAAACUCUCCAUGGAAAGAGCUGAGAGCUGAACCACUCAGAGGCAGUUUCUUCAAAAUAAGAUAUCAAUCAAAUUCAUCUUUUCCAAGCUGCCUGGAAUGCCAAAUUACGUGUGGGCAACAUAAGGACAGUCCUGGCUGCCUAAAUUGUGCACUGAUGAGAUACGGUCUGUGGUGUCUCCAGCGGACAUCAGCACAUGUUUUCACAGAAACACACUCAGAACAGGACGUUUCCCAUGGGCCCCCUUUUGUGGCCUUCCUGCUUUCCUAGGCCGGCUUCCCUCCCCCCCGCUGGUCUUGUUUGGGAGUUGACUUGCCCUCCUUGGGCAUGAUGACCAUGGGAUUUCAAUUUUCUCCCUGGUUUUAUACAAACCGAAGGGAUUGAGGUAUUGAUGGUGUCAGUGGUAGCUUGUGGUGACCUUCCCAGCCUUGUGAAGAUUUUCGAUGGUGUUCACAGUCUGGAGAAAUGUCAGUGGACAUUUGCUUAAGCCCAGAAGGACCCACACACGAAUCAUGGUUAGGAGGCCUCAUUUCUACAAGGAGACCCGGAUGCUAAGGGCUCUCCUUCAGAAGAGGGUCCCUCAUGCAGUUCCUCCUUCCAACCCAAUUGAGCAAGUGACAUGCCUGGUCACAGAACCACAAGCUCAGUCUGUCACUGACCUGAAGGUCAAGGGUCCAGAGAGGUAUUCUUCAUUUUCUUCAAGGUUAUCUGUUGGUACAAAAGGGACCCCACUGUACACGAGACUCACAAAGCAGCAGGACCACGUUCCACGAGGCCACUGAACUCUCACAAGACUGCAUGGUUCCGAGGAGAAGGCUGCCCCAGGGCUGUUCUGGAAGGCUGGGGUGGGGUUGGCCGAGAGGGAGGGAGACUGUGCGGUGGGGGGAUGUGCUGAGUGCAGUAGAAACCUGAGCUGCCUCUUGUGCUGAGUGGAGGGCUACUUUGCCAAUUUGGGUUUCCCCUUCAAGCCCCCAAGGUGAUGUGCGAGAUGCCACUCGCCCAGGCGUAGGCAAUGGCUGGACGGGGCUGGUGAAGUUACAGCUGGCCAUCUAGACACCGCCCGAGUAAAUACCUGCCCAGAACUUGGGAAGUGAAGCAUUUUCAAGAGAUGAAAAUGCCCACAUGUAAUGCCAAGGGCAAGGGCUCAAUCCUGGGGAAGCCAUUAGCUCUGCCCUUUCCCUCCCUGCCUUUGGGCUAACUCUGGGCCAAUGGUUCCAUGUGGGUCAUAAGAAACAUGAACAGGGACAUAAAUGGCUGAUGAUGAAUCUGCCACCAACAUUUUACAAAGCCACAGUUGAAUACUGGCCGUGGUGCUGGAAGUCUCAAGGGUUGUUUUUUUUUUUUUUUUGCUUGUUUUUGUUUUUAUAGAACACACCAUUGAAAUACACUGUUAGUGGGUGGUAUAGCACAGUGGCUGGGUGUAGGCGCCGGAAGCAAGUUGGCAACGUGAAGUCCUAGCGCUGCCUCUUACAUGCAUGAGACUUGGGAAGCAAGCUAUUUAAUUUCAUUGUGCCUCAGUUUUAUUUUUCCCUUGGAAAAACAAGGUUGAUGAUGAUGAUGGUACUUCCAUGGAUUUGUUGUGAGGAAUAAAUAAGAUUGAACAUACAAAAGAGUUAGAGGGCCUUGCUAGGAAUUGACCUUGGGACACACGUCAAGUCACCACUGGGAUGGUGGUCACCAAUGAGCCAGAAGGAGCCUCAAAGGCAUCUGGUCAGAUGCCACCACCACACAAAGAAGGAAGCUGGAUUCCUGAGAGGCAACGAUUCUUGCCAAAGGUCACCAGUAGCAUGGUGCUAGUGCUGUCCUCUCCUGACUCACAAAGGGAACGGUGGCACUUAGGUGUCAUCUUCCUCACUAAACACAAAUGUUGACAGGCGUCACCCUGAACUCUCCGUUCACGGUGUCACCUCCCCAAACUGAACAGCUGAAACAUUUUCCAGGCACCACAUAGAAAAGUCCCACAGGGGACCAUUCCCAGUGAGUCCCAGACAGAGGCGCUUGUGUAAUGAGACGAGGGAAGGGCACAAGGCUUGUGUCCCCACAGCCAGCUGAUGGAUGGGAGGCCCCUGUGCUAUGGCAAAGCCACUUCCCAUUACUAAUUUGAUGGUGUGUGAAAUGAGCCAUGUUUAUGAGCAGCCGAGGGAGUUCCUUCAGGGGAGCUGCCCCGUGUUCCGUGAGCCCAACUGUCCCAACAGGGUGUCAAGAUGGCUUCUGACCCUCUUUGCUGACUAAGAGCGGUGGCGACAGUGACACACAAUUUGCUGCAUUUCUCCUUUCUUGACAAAACCAGCCUGGUCUUUGGGAAAUAAU
RNAcentral lists this long non-coding RNA (31192 nucleotides) under Marmota monax (woodchuck). Lineage: Eukaryota; Metazoa; Chordata; Mammalia; Rodentia; Sciuridae. The record is from RNAcentral.